AGAGUAGGCGCAGGUGGUUGCGGAUGGGCGUGCUAACCCGUCUGAGGAAAGUCCGGGCUCCCGAAAGACCAAACUUGCUGGGUAACGCCCAGUGCGGGUGACCGUGAGGAAAGUGCCACAGAAAGAUACCGCCAAACUUCGUCCUGAGUCCUAAGUCGUGAGUCUCUUUAAACUCAGCACUCAGCACUCAGGGCUGUUUUGGUAAGGGUGCAAAGGUGCGGUAAGAGCGCACCAGCAGCGUCGAGAGGCGCUGGCUCGGUAAACCCCGGUUGGGAGCAAGGUCAGAGGAACUACGGUUGGUCUUUUACCCGUUCCGUCGAGAUGUACCGCUAGAGGCGUCUGGUAACAGGCGUCGGAGAUAGAUAGCUGCCUUCUUAGCUGCGCGUCAGCUAGGAAAACAGAACCCGGCUUAUGUCCGACUCUCUCC
RNAcentral lists this RNase P RNA (427 nucleotides) under Microcoleus sp. FACHB-68. RNAcentral describes it as "Bacterial RNase P class A". It matches the Rfam family "Bacterial RNase P class A". Rfam says of the family: Ribonuclease P (RNase P) is a ubiquitous endoribonuclease, found in archaea, bacteria and eukarya as well as chloroplasts and mitochondria. Its best characterised activity is the generation of mature 5'-ends of tRNAs by cleaving the 5'-leader elements of precursor-tRNAs. Cellular RNase Ps are ribonucleoproteins. Lineage: Bacteria; Bacillati; Cyanobacteriota; Cyanophyceae; Oscillatoriales; Microcoleaceae. The record is from Rfam by way of RNAcentral.